CCGUCUCUGGAGUGACUUGGUUUGAGUGUGUUUCCAGUGAAAAGUUGCGGCUGUACUUGGUGCGUCAGCGCUCAAAACUUGAGCACAAAGCAGGAGGGAGAGGACGAGAGACAUAGAGAAAUCAAGGCAAGAGAGAGAGAGCGCGAGAGGAGCGGUCCCCUUUUCCUUUGUCUUUGAGGAGAGAACUUGAGGGGAUGCUCAAAGACGCAUCUUCAUAACGCUCACUCAUAGCAAACUUGUUCUGCUUCUCAAAGUGUUAUGUCUGGGAUUUUAAUGGAUGUGAGAUGGAGUAAGUGCUGGUGCCGUGUUUUUGUCUCCCGGGGAUGUUGCGACACGCAAAACAAAGCCUGUCAGAAGUUUGCAAGGGAAGGACGCUUUACGCACGCACGCAGGAAAAACAAAAAAGUGACUGGAUUAGUUCAUGUAAAUAGUUGAAUGUAGUCUCGUGUAUAGAGAUUUUUUAUUAUGAUUUUUUUCAUAAGUUGCGUUUUUGUUUUUGAGAAGUUGGCGCUGCACUGAGGAAAUUCUCUACAAUGCAAUCAGGUGUAAAGUCUGCAAGAAACAAGCCAGUGGAAUUAUCGAGCAAGGCGUCUCCUGUGGAAGGUCAAGAAAAUGGGCAAAAACAAUAUGCUGAAGCAAUGCGAAGAUGGCACAGGAUCACCUAUCAGACGACGCUUUAAGAUGGAGAGGAGGAUUAAGAGACUGUGCAGGUUCUUUUUGGGGAGAAGGUAAAGACUUAUCUCAGGUUGGAUUUAAACUUUUGCAACAGUGGUGCCAGUUGGAUUGUGUUUUAGGGCACACGUGAAAAUCCCAAACUCAUGGAGACACUUUAAGGAUUAUCCGAAUUCAUGGUAAAUCUCUCCGCAAGACACAUCUUGAGCCAGAGUCUCUGGGAUAGCAGGAUAUUGCACUUCUGAUCCUCCUCGGCCCUCGGCACGGGGAGCGUGGGAGUACCGAGGUCUGGGAGAUCACGACCCUAAUUCUUUCCAAGACAGACGGUUUAAUUAACACUGUAGGAAUCCUCUCCAACUCCAGACCUCUGCAAAAGGAAUUUACUCAGGAAUUACACCACACAGGUCUUGGACAUUUAGUGGACCAGAAAGCUGACAGAUGAUGCCCAUGAAUGAUGGAUGAUGUCUUCUUGGUGCCAGUUGAAUGCAUUAUAAGGCAAUGAUACGGCCCCUGUCAUUGUGGCCCACGUUGGCAGAAGACCACCUCACAGGGAUUUUCCUCUUCACCAGGUGUGGCAGACUGAGAUUCAGCGGCAACGUCUACACAGGAGUUGAUGGCAAGU
This is a long non-coding RNA of Poecilia latipinna (sailfin molly), 1294 nucleotides long. RefSeq lists it as uncharacterized. The record is from RefSeq and is a predicted model, not a curated record. NCBI's taxonomy places the organism in Eukaryota, Metazoa, Chordata, Actinopteri, Cyprinodontiformes, Poeciliidae. The transcript is spliced from 6 exons.